GCAUUGUUGCUUCAACGGUAGAAUUUUCACCUUCCAUGUGGGAGACCUGGGUUCAAUUCCUGGUCAAUGCA
RNAcentral lists this transfer RNA (71 nucleotides) under Loxodonta africana (African savanna elephant). It matches the Rfam family "tRNA". From Rfam's summary of the family: Transfer RNA (tRNA) molecules are approximately 80 nucleotides in length. Their secondary structure includes four short double-helical elements and three loops (D, anti-codon, and T loops). Further hydrogen bonds mediate the characteristic L-shaped molecular structure. tRNAs have two regions of fundamental functional importance: the anti-codon, which is responsible for specific mRNA codon recognition, and the 3' end, to which the tRNAs corresponding amino acid is attached (by aminoacyl-tRNA synthetases). tRNAs cope with the degeneracy of the genetic code in two manners: having more than one tRNA (with a specific anti-codon) for a particular amino acid; and 'wobble' base-pairing, i.e. permitting non-standard base-pairing at the 3rd anti-codon position. The record is from Rfam by way of RNAcentral. Lineage: Eukaryota; Metazoa; Chordata; Mammalia; Proboscidea; Elephantidae.